UGCGAAGGGGGCUAGCGUUGCUCGGAAUUACUGGGCGUAAAGGGAGCGUAGGCGGACAUUUAAGUCAGGGGUGAAAUCCCGGGGCUCAACCUCGGAAUUGCCUUUGAUACUGGGUGUCUUGAGUAUGAGAGAGGUGUGUGGAACUCCGAGUGUAGAGGUGAAAUUCGUAGAUAUUCGGAAGAACACCAGUGGCGAAGGCGACGCACUGGCUCAUUACUGACGCUGAGGCUCGAAAGCGUGGGGAGCAAACAGGAUUAGAUACCCCUGUA
RNAcentral lists this ribosomal RNA (269 nucleotides) under uncultured prokaryote. RNAcentral describes it as "partial 16S ribosomal RNA". It matches the Rfam family "Bacterial small subunit ribosomal RNA", at positions 524 to 792 of the family's 1533-position model. The record is from RNAcentral.